GAGAACACAGCAAGAAGAUGAUCAUCUGCAAGCCAGAAAGAGGGCCCUCAUCAAGAACUGAAUCUGCCAGCACCUUGGUCUUAGACUUUCCAUCUUCCAGCACUGUGAGAAAUAAAUGUCUGUUGUUUAAGCCACUCAGUCUGGUAUUUUAUUAUAGCAGCCUGAGCUUACUAAGAUAUAUGAUUACUUUCAAAGCCUUUGAGCUCACAUUAUGACCUUUUGUUUAGACAUGGUUUUGUGGUUCUGCAUUGAUCGAGCCACUGCUGCAUUUGGUUGACUUUUCUUCCAGCUGAGAAGCAGGAAGAAGAAUUGCUUGGAAGUACAAUGAAAUAGAAGAAAACCUCAGGAAGUAGCCUUUUUAAGGGUACUGGGCACCCACCUGCAUGUCUUAUGGCAGAAGUUACAGGGCAGAGACCUGUUGAUCACUUGCCUUCCCUAUCUCUUAUCUAUCUAUACUCAUCCUCCUUUCACCCUCCCACAAAAAAUGAUGGAACAAUUAUGUGAACUCUUUUAUUGUUCCAGGUUCUCACUAUAAAAAUUGUGAAAAGAUCAACUAAAUAAUAAAUAAGAAAAGACUGU
RNAcentral lists this long non-coding RNA (579 nucleotides) under Homo sapiens (human). RNAcentral's name for it is "HSALNT0040497". Lineage: Eukaryota; Metazoa; Chordata; Mammalia; Primates; Hominidae. The record is from RNAcentral.